ACCUGGUUGAUCCUGCCAGUAGUCAUAUGCUUGUCUUAA
Molecule: ribosomal RNA, 39 nt
Filed under: Proteomonas sulcata
Lineage: Eukaryota; Cryptophyceae; Pyrenomonadales; Geminigeraceae
Description: partial 18S ribosomal RNA
Source: RNAcentral